Molecule: long non-coding RNA, 655 nt
Filed under: Cricetulus griseus (Chinese hamster)
Lineage: Eukaryota; Metazoa; Chordata; Mammalia; Rodentia; Cricetidae
Description: lncRNA (ENSCGRG00015030898.1)
Source: RNAcentral
GAGCAGUCAACAUGUAGCAGACAAAGGAGUUGCAGGUCCAGCAUUCCCCGGAGAACUGCUUGUCUGUGGGCCUUAAGCAGGGCUAAAAUAGAACCCAGGACCACUGUUUCAGGAAUAGAACCACUCACAAUGGAAUGAGCUCUCCCGUGUCAAUCACAAAUUAAGAAAAUGUUUCACAGUUGUAUCUUAUGGAGCUCUUUUGUCAGUGGUAUGUAUUUCCACUGAUUGUGUUUUCUUGUCAUUUAAGAUGUUUUCCCCAACCUUGAGUUGGUUUAUAUGGAAGAGAGAAGUGCCUGCAGGAACCAUGCUACAUAUUCAACUGGAGAGGGAAUGCACAUCUUAUGGGAAUGGAAACUUUUGAUUGUUUCAGAUUCUAGAACAUGUUUGAGUUGGUCUUGAAUAAUACAUUGUUGUUCUUUUUUCUAUAUUCAAUUAAGUAAUCACAGAUAUAUAGUCAUUAAGAAUUUUAGGCUGAGAGGGACUACUAAGUAAUUUAGGUGGAUGGGUAAGUUAGGAUAAGACAAGAUAGGAUAAGUUAGGUUAGGAUAAAGUAAGCUACAAUAAUAAGUAACAAUACGUAUUUGUCACUCUUACUCCUCCCUACAACCUUACCUAUAAAAGUCUACUCAGAUGAAACUGCAGGGAAAUCAACAUU